AUGGACCUCCGGCAGCACACCAUCCAGCUCAGUGCGACUCAUGGCGCAGCGGCGUCGCAGCCGGGCGAUGGCGGCGCGAUGAGCUCCGAGCUGUACCUCGCCGUGUGCGGGGGGAAGAAGGAGGAGGCCAUGGCGCUGCUUCGGCGACCGCACUACGGCGGCGCUCCUGCCGAUGAUCGGGCUGCUGGCAUACACCAGGUGAGCGCAAAGAGGAACAACGUUCUUCACUUAGCCGCGGAGCACGGGCACGACGAGCUGAUCCACGAUCUCGUCAGCUUCGGGGGCAAGAGCUUGCUCUCUGCACAGAACUCUGCUCUCGACACGCCUCUGCACUGCGCGGCGAGGGCGGGGCACUGCAAGGCCGUGUCCGUCCUCGUCCAGCUCGCGAUGGACUACGGAGACGAGAGCACGCUGUGGUGCAAGAACGCGGCUGGGGACACGGCCCUUCAUCUGGCAGCGAGGCUCGGCCAUGGCGUGGCGGUGGAGGCCAUGGUCUCCGCGGCGUCCGGGCUGGCGUCCGAGGUCAACGACGCCGGCGUGUCGCCGCUGUACUUGGCGGUGAUGAGCAGGUCGGUGCCCGCCGUCAGAGCGAUAACGACGAACUGCAGGGACGCGUCGGCUGCCGGCCCGAGCUCGCAGAAUGCGCUGCAUGCCGCCGUCUUCCAGGGCUCAGAAAUGGUUAGCCUGCUCCUGGAGUGGAAGCCACGCGGCCCAUCCCUGGCUAGCCAAGCGGACGACACGGGCAGCACCCCGCUCCAUUUCGCCUCCUCCGACGGCGACCGCUCCGUCGUAGGUGCCAUCCUGAGCGCGUCGCCGCCGUGCGCGGUGCGCGUGAGGGACUCUGCCGGCCUCUCUGCUCUCCACGUCGCGGCCGGGAUGGGCCACGCCCGCGUCGCCAGGGCGCUGAUAGAGGCCUGCCCGGACGCUACCGAGCUCCAGGACGACCGCGGCGGAACCUUCGUGCACGCCGCGGCCAUGGGAGGCCACUCUGAGGUCGUGCGGCUCGCCAUCAAGAAGCCCAUGCUGGGCGGCGGCGGCCUCCUGAACACGCAGGACGGGGACGGCAACACGCCUCUCCACCUGGCGGUGGCCGCGCGGGAGCCGGCCAUCGCGGAGGCCCUGCUGUGGACGGGCCAGGUGCGAGCCGAGGUGACGAACAACGACGGCCACACGCCGCUGGACCUCGCCGCGAAAUCGACUGAUUUCUACUCCAUGGUGAGCCUGGUGGUGACACUGACGGCAUUCGGGGCGCAGUUCCGUCCGCAGAGGCGGGACCACGUGCAGCGAUGGGACAGCCGCAACAUAACAAAGGCGAUAGAGAAGACGUCCGACAGCCUCGCGGUGGUCGCCGUCCUCGUCGCCGGCGUCGCCUUCACCGCCGCCAACAACCUGCCCGGAUCGUACGAGCAGGAGGGGAACACAAAAGGGAUGGCGGUCCUCCGGAGGAUGACCAUCUUCAAAUGCUUCCUCAUCCUGGACAGCGUCGCCCUGGUGACCUCCAUUCUCGCGGUGGUCCUGCUCGUCUACGGCAAGGCCUCGCGCUCCGCCCGGUCGUGGAAAAGCUUCGCGGCGGCACUGCAUUGCAUAUGGAUGUCCCUGAUCAGCAUGCUCCUGGCAUUCUACGCGGCGAUAGCAGCCGUGACGAGCGCCGUGGGGGUCUACGACAUCAGGGUCUUCGUCGUGAAUCUCGUCCUUGUCGUGCUCUUCAUCGUGCUCUCCGCCUUUGUCAGCCCUCCGGUGUCGCACCUCAUAAUGUGCAAGUUCCUGUGGCAAUGCGGUUUCAGAGGACGCCAAGGUGGUGUCGUCCGCAGGCGUAUCAGCCAACAAUAUCCAGUGGUGGGCGCUUUUGUCUUCAACCUGCUUUUAUUCAGAGCUGCGCAUUAUGUUAUACUGUUCGCUGGCUUUAUCAUUGUCUCGACCCUGCGUGGCGGCUCCGAUGUUACUUAG
This 1947-nucleotide ribosomal RNA is filed under the name Triticum aestivum (bread wheat). Its description in RNAcentral is "partial small subunit ribosomal RNA". Lineage: Eukaryota; Viridiplantae; Streptophyta; Magnoliopsida; Poales; Poaceae. The record is from RNAcentral.